GCGCCCGUAGCUCAGCUGGAUAGAGCACUGCCCUCCGAAGGCAGAGGUCUCAGGUUCAAAUCCUGUCGGGCGUACCA
RNAcentral lists this transfer RNA (77 nucleotides) under Candidatus Hoaglandella endobia. RNAcentral describes it as "tRNA-Arg". It matches the Rfam family "tRNA". From Rfam's summary of the family: Transfer RNA (tRNA) molecules are approximately 80 nucleotides in length. The record is from RNAcentral. Lineage: Bacteria; Pseudomonadati; Pseudomonadota; Gammaproteobacteria; Enterobacterales; Enterobacteriaceae.